RNAcentral lists this unclassified non-coding RNA (322 nucleotides) under uncultured fungus. RNAcentral describes it as "sequence contains ITS1". The stretch from base 1 to 105 matches the Rfam family "5.8S ribosomal RNA", at positions 50 to 154 of the family's 154-position model. Lineage: Eukaryota; Fungi. The record is from RNAcentral.
GAACUGCGAUACGUAGUGUGAUCCGCACGUUUCUGUGAAUCAUCAAGUCUUUGAACGCACAUGGCACGCGCGACCUCGGUUGCGCGUAUACCUGUUUGAGAAUCGGGUCCCCAAUACCACCAGGUGUGUGGUGACAUUGACCAUGACCGAGUCUUGGUCCAAAUGCAGACGUGUGGGCUGCGGGAGAGCUGCGGCGCCGUGUGGUACAAGACCCUUGGGUCUAGCGAGCACGGAUGCAACGCCGGGGCGCGAGCGCAGCAUAAAGCACUACCCUACUUCUAUUUUCGAUCUCAAAUCAGGCAAGGCUACCCGCUGAACUUAA